Molecule: long non-coding RNA, 9378 nt
Organism: Tympanuchus pallidicinctus (lesser prairie-chicken)
Lineage: Eukaryota; Metazoa; Chordata; Aves; Galliformes; Phasianidae
Exons: 3
Source: RefSeq, a predicted model, not a curated record
AAGGAGAAGACGCCCCGGGAGGGAGGGAAGGAGGGCGGGCGGUCUGAGCGGAGGCAGAGUUUGGAGGUGCGGAUACGCCGCCAGUGCGCGCUAACAGCGCGCAGCCGUGUCCGGCCGGCGCAAAGCCCGCGGCACCCAAGUAGUUCAAAAGCAGCACUUCUGCGCUCGCACGCAUUCAUGCAACAGGGGCGAUGGGCUUAGAGUCGCAGAGCCACCAACCCGGCAUCGUGGCCGUGCUUUUCGCCUUCCAACCUGCUCGGGCACCUCGUGCCACCCCGCUCCCCUGCUCUGUCCCCCUGCCCGUUCCGCAGCCCCCUGCACACCUUUGCGCAACGCUCUGGGAAUGCAUCGCCUGCUUUUUGAAGCACUGAUUUCACUGGGUUUCUAACUCAGUCUGUGUAACAUCUACGGUAAUGCAGCCCCAGCCCCGGCAAGUCUGGGUAGCGCUACUCAGUAACGAUAGAGAGCAGCAAGUAGUCUGCUGCUUCCUCAGGUCUCGAUUGGAAAGCAAGAGGAAAGCAGGACAGAAGGUUUAUCUGGGACACCGAGCCCAGCCCCAGGUAACCUCAGGAACCAGACGCACACACGAAGUUGGUGCUGCCAUCAAGAUUCAUUCCUCAGGCAAAGGAGAAAGAAGAGGGUGAGAGAGGUUCAGUGCAAUUUGUUAGAUUGCUCCGCUGGUGUUUUUGGACAAGAAAUAACUAGCAGUGCUAGCACCAGAUCCUCCAUCUGCUAUGGAAAAAGGAAGUUCUGCCCUUCUUUUAGCUCGUUAUGUUUAAAUUCCUCAUGCAGAUGGCAGGUAACUGGUUAAGAGCUGCAUGGGAAAGACCCGAAAUGGUUUAGCAUGUUUGUGUGCGUCUGUGAGCACCUUUUAAUAACAGGGAAACUGAGGCAUGGCAUUGACAUGACUCACAGAGCUAUUGAAAUAGUGGUGGAACCAGCACUGAAUCCAGCUCAGUUGUUUAGGAAUGCGUGGGGGGUGGGGGUUGGGGGGCAGAGGCGGAGCAGGGCAACCAGGGUCUUUAGUAUGGAGCAGUGCUAAGCCCAGGGUGCUAUGGGGGGGGGGCUCAGAUGCCACCCCGGUGGGUGCCUUCCCCUCACCCCCCACUGAUGGGAGCUUCAGCUCUUAGCACUUGGGUUUCACAGUUAAGAUCAAACUCCCCCAUAGUUCCUGAGGAGCAGUACCAACCUGCUCUUAACCAGGCAGCUAUUUGCCUACAUUUCUCUCCUGCCUAGGGUGUGGUUUCUUGACCAACUGAAAUCCAAGCUGCUGACACCCAGCGCAGCCCUCCAGCUGCAGGCUCACUGCCCUCCCGGUGUGCGCAGGCAGAGUCGGCCUUUUGUCACACAGCAGAACCAGGGGACUCACGUUCCUCAGGAUCAGGGAGACUGGAAGUCUGUAAGGGUGGACUGGUGGAAUGGAGAGCAGGUGGCCCUGCUGCCUGAAUUACUUACACCUGAGUUGCCCCUAGCUCACAUUUGCAAACUGAAUAAAUCUCAGAUCAGUGUUGUAUUUUAAAAUGGCAUCAGUCUGAGGGAAAAGGAGGGAAAAGAAGGGAAAAGAAGAAAAGGAAAAAAAGAAAAGAAAAAUACUGUUUGGAAGGUUUGGCUCGUGACUCAACACCUCAGGGCAGCCUGCUCCCACCAUGGAUGUGCUUCACUGGCACUUGGAUCCUUGGGCAUUCCUGGCUAAGAGGUGAGACCAGAAAUUGUCUCGGGGGAAUCAAAAGGAACGCAUCAAGGUAGGGGCCACACAUCCCAGCAGCGUGCUUCCCGUGCCUCAGUGCUCUCAAUUCAUUAAUCAGCAUGGUUAAUUUUAAAGAAGUUACCGUUUCUGCAGCUGGUUAUUAGGAAUCCUGUUGCUGGGUUAAUGGUUCUACUUGAAAACAGUUGUGGCAUCACUGCAGAUGAAGCCAGCUCACUUCAGUACGCCUUGUAAUAACGCGUUGCUGCAGAUCAUAUAUGCAGUCAUUGCCUUGUUUCCAUGGAAGAACAAAGUGGAAAUAUAUUUUGCAUCAGAUAUUAAAUGUGGCUUACCCAGUUCCCAGGCAGUUAAAUCACUGAGAAGUGUUGGAGCUGGCUAUGUUUGAUACCAUGUCUGCCUCUCUGCUUUGUUCCCAUGUACAGAUUCAGCAUCUGUAAUAUUUCACUUUGAACAUUCGCUUCUGAGCUGUGGGCAGAUGAAAACAAACGCCACGCAGAGACAUCAGAACCACAGAAGCCAUCUGCAGGAUGUAGCGUAGCUGUGCUAAUUCAUUUACUGAGAAUUAGGCUAAUUACCUACUGAGAAACAGAAUUUGUUAGCAAGUGCUCCUGGAACCCAGUCUAGCUUGUUUGGAGCCAGCCCAGGUAGCCUGGACAGGUGCUGCACACACUUCCUGUAAUUGAGGAAGCGCUGGGGGAUGCUCCACCUCAGAUGAAAUACAUAAACACGACGCUGGCAGCUUCUGGUCAGCGCAGAUCCUAUCAUGCCUCUUCGUCUGGCUCCCUGGGGAACUGCUUGCACAAUCUCGUUAUUUGUCUGACCCAGUUUCCAAUAUGCUGACACGUUUGUCACAGGUUACAGAGGAGUUUCAGAGGUGCUGCGUCCUUAGCAAUUUUGCAGGGGUUAGCACCCACCAGGAAGAGAGAAUUCUUAUUAAUGCUCCCAUUGAGAAGAAGGCAGAAUUUAGCAGUUCUUCAUUGUGGUUGACAGCAGCAAAUGAUUCUGAUUUGCAGGUUACUCCAUCACUCCUUAGCAAAUGCACUGUUUUCUUCAGCAAAUGCAAAAAGCCUGAGGCUGGCUAAGGGGCGCUGGGGCGUUACUACGUGGCUGUGGCAGGGGGCAGUCAGCGUUGUGAUGGGGAGAGAAAGAGAGAUGUGGCAUGAAUCCAUAAGGAGACAGGCUUCAUUGGGUACCGGGAAUCAUUUGUUAGGAAAGUACUGAGAGCAAUCUGGUAUGUUCAGAUACGUUGAUGCUCUGAUGUAACCCUUGCACAGUUUCACCCAUCAGCCGUCCGUGGCACAUCUCCUUGCUGUCCCGCAGCAGGAAUCCGCUGUCAUUUGACCUGAACAGAUCGCUGUAGUAGCUUUUCUUGGUGUGCGUUUAAUAAAGUUGUAACCACUGUGACUAUAACUCAUGGCUCUCGGUCGCUCCGCAGCGGUGCAACCAGCGGUUCGGCAUUCCAGCGACAUCAGUUCAAAGGGAAAUACGGAAGGCUCAGAUGUGCGCCAGAGCUUUGUGACUUUUAUUACUCCUCCCGCACUUCUCUGUUAGGAAGAUACAUUCUCUACUGCAGAAUUAAGAAGUACAAAGCACCCCCAGACCUUGUAGUGCAAAAUGUAAGAAGUGAUGUUAUCUGCAGAAAGUGGACUUUAGAUUCUAUCAGCGCGCCUUUAGCAUAAAGCAUUUCCUAUGGUAAUGCCUCUCACUUUCCCAGACUUUUACGGGCUCCAAGUGGCACAGAGGCUGCAGACCUCUUUGUAAUGUUAAUGAAUCAUCUUAAUGGACUGUUUUAGCAGCAACAUUCAUCACCUUUUGUACCACAAUGAUUUUUUUUGUUAUACUUAAAUGGUUAAGUAGGCAAUAAAUGCCUAUCAGACCAACCACUAUGGUCUAGUCAUCCACCUCGCCAUAAAUCACCGGUGGAUUAUUAUUGUCCUGUUUAAUUAACACUCUUAAGGGAUUCAGUCGUUGGAUAGACUUUCACCUUGCACUAAGCAGGCAUUAACAUUUCAAGGAAGAAAAAGUGUGUUUAUGUGAAAAGCGUCAAUCAGUGCUGGUGGCGGUGGAUGAAAUAUGUGUGUGUGUGUCUGUGCAUCCCUGUCGGUUUGCAAUAGGAGCUACACCCAGACCUGCAGAGCGCCUGUUUUAGUUAUAGCCAAUGGUCGGUUCCGUAUCGUCUGCGUUAGGGCUUGAAGAUAUUUGAAGGCAUUUGAUUGUAAAUACCAGCUCUAAAGGAUUUGGCUCCAGCCGGUAGGAAGGUGGCAUUUUUUGUCAGCAUAGAGCAUGGGUUUUUCGUUGGUGGGUUUGUUUGUUUGUUUGUUUGUUUUUGUGUGCGUGUGUGGUCUGAUUCAGCCUUCAUACUUGUACAGGAUUCAAUCAAACUUUUUCUUUCUUUUGCAGCACCUGGUGAGAGGGAAGCACUGAUCCCGUUGCUGCUCCCUUUUGAGACUUCACAGCCAGAAGGAGGAAGCGAAGCAGCGCGAGCGCCGGAGGGCCGGGCUGGAGGAGUGGGUGCUGUGUGCAGAACAGCACCGGCAGCUCUUUUGCAAACGAAAUUCACGCGUAGGACACAAGCUGUGUGCAGCACCGCUCUCACUAUGCAGACGUUUCUCUGCAGUUUGGCUCCAUGCUGCCUUCCUCCUCUUGACAAAAUAGAAAGAUGGCAGCGCUUUCUUCUUUCAUCUGUAAUGCAAUAUAAUGCAUUUAAUAGCAAUUUCCUUGUCUUUUGUCAAAGGAUAAAGUCAUGUGAAAAAGGCUCUUGUUAAUGCAGUGUUUCCCAUGCCCGAAACCUAAUCCUGCUCUCUUUGAUUUUGUCAGGCUCGCAGUGCGGCGCAGCACCGCCUGCACAUGGCUGGUAUCCGUGCUACAGGAGCGGCAGCCGAGUGAGACGAACCCAGUGCUGUGUUUCCGUCUCGCAGACACAGCGACCGGCGCAUGGAUGUCAGAGCGUGGAGGUGUUGGAGGCUCUCAGGGAGCUGUGUGGCUCGUGGGACCCCGUUUCUGGUCUGUACACAAACUUGCUGUGCACAUCCCCGUCUGAUGGCUUUCCUGCUGAAUCAUGUUCUGGUACAGACUCCUGCAACUUAAAUAACAAUUGAAACUGCUAAGUGGAACACGAACUUGUGAAUUAAGAGACUGAAUCUCCAAGUAUUAAUUCAUUUCCUGUAACGAGGUUCAAGUUCUAUAAGAUUAAGUCCUUCCUUUUCAAUAGAGGUUCCAUAUUGUAUUGGCUAGCAGAAUCGAAUGCUGCAGGCAUGGAAAAGCAUUAUUUAAUGAAGCCUGUUGAGGAGAGGCGAGGAAAGCGCCACAGUUUUCACUGGAUGCUUUUGUUUCAGAUCCACGGCUGCCAGCAUUGAUGCUCACCUGCCAGUUUUUAUCCUAUCUGUAACUGGAAGGGUGGGAGAUGAUUCACGACAUAGGAAAUAGCACAGAACUCCAAGGGGGGUUGAAUAAGACAAGAAAUUAAACUGAGCUCAUAAGAGGUGCACUUCAAUCUCAUGAGAACCUGCAGUGACAGAAAAUCAGACAGUCACGUGUGCAGUGCAGUGUUACAGUGUGUGUGCAUGGGUUGCACCAUGGUUUGUUUUUUGUAGGUUUUUUGGUUUUUUUGCAAAUCAUUUAACAGAGAUGCACAAAAAAGCACACAAAGUUUCAAGUGUAGGCAUGUACUAAGAAGAAUCUCCCUCUUUCCCUCUAGACACACCCUGCUAAUUAAAUCCAUCACUGCCUAGCAGUAAGCCCUAGGGAUCAAUCUUUUCUAGAGCACUGUUGCUAUCCAACAUUUUAGCUCAUACAGCGGGCAGCCAAGAUUUCAUGUCUAUGCAUAUAGCAGGACUGCUAGCCAAUAUUUCCUGUUCUUCUCCUUCCCAUCUCAAUCUGGGUACAUCGUGUAGUUUUGUUGGUUUUUUUUUAAUAGGUAGGUGAAAUGUCAGUGUUCUUUUCUGAUUGCUUUCUUAUAUCCUAAUGCAAAGAACUGCGGGAAGGUGAGAUGUGAAAGCAAUAAAACCAGGCCUGUGUGCUCCGUGUAGCUAGCUGGCCAUGAGGAACUGCAGGAAGGAUGGAUAUUGAAUGACUUCUAUAGUCCGCUGGUUUUUAUCAGAGCAGGUCAUCGACCAGUGGGCUGCCCAAACCUGUUCCACUGCUUCCCCAUUGAUUAAAUAUCUGGAGACAUUUACGUGCAGAUCAAAUUCUCCAUAAUCUAUUUCAUCUCAAUCACACCCAAGCCCUUUUUCAAGCUGGGGCAAAAACGUUCCCUCCAGUGCUGAGAAAAGAUGGUAUGUCGCCCUAAUGUACUUCUCUGAGUUUCCUUGGAGCCAAACUAUGACCUCAGAUUCCCAAGGGCUGACAUCAGCAGGACUCAGGCAGUGUAAGAGAGGUGAAACCCUUCUCAUGUGCCCAAAUGUCAAGGAAUUUAAAACAUGGUUCUUUUUUUUUUCCAUUGUCAGAGCUGACAUUUAUGGGGGAAGGGAGGCGCAGAGGGGCUGUGCAGCUUCCAGCCCACCUCCAAUGGCCAGCAUUGCUUCUGAAUCUUGCUACCUGUGUCAUCCACAAUGAGAUGGAGGGUCUUUUGUGGAAUUGUUACUUGUUCUUUCCCAGUUUUAAUUUAUUCCCAGUUUCUUUUCCCGCUCUUACUGCCCAUCUCAGUGUCAUCCUGCAGACAUUCAACUAAUGGUUGAAUGGGAAGAAAUGUAAAGAAAAAAUGUGGCCUACAGAUACCUUAUGUUACAUACAUGCAAGAUAAAAUAUCUGUAGCACUGCAAUGUGUGUGAUAGUGAAGCUGGGAGAUGCCUGAAAGAGUAAGAAACCAAAGGAUGACAAUUUAGUAUUUUAUAUUAGGUUCUUCUGUUGUACUUUAACUGGGGUGUAAUUUCGGUAGUUGUUUUGUUGCUGUUAUUUGUUUGCUUGUUUGUUUUCCCCCAAGGAAUGCCCAAAAAAGGGAUCACAAUUUUUCCUAAUUCUCAGCUGACCCUCGUGCAGUGCAGUUCCAGCCCCCACUCCUCCUGCCAUGUAACCCCUCCAGCCAAGCACUGCCCAGCGCCUCCACGGCUGCCUCCAGGUGCUCCAGUGCUGCACAGAUCCAUGGCCUGGCCAGCAAGAGGGGAGCAUGGCGGGGCUUCCAUGGCUGAACAACUUCUGUCUCUUCUAAAUAAAUAGAAGAGCUGGUAUAAAUGAAUGUGGAUAAACUACUGCUAAUCUUGCCAGUUCGUAUGAGAGUGCAAGAAGUGAGUACAAAGAUGAACUUUUCAUCUCAUUGAACUCAUUCCGCCUCAGUGCGUUUAUAGGCAGCUAUAAAUUCCUAUACCUGGGGAGGCAGUUGGCAAAGCUUACAGCACCGGUUUUAUUUUCAAAAUGAUGAUAACAGUAUGCAUUUGUGCAGCACAGAAAUGUUUCUCCAAUAUGAAGUCAGUUUUCUGAUUUUACAGUUAUAAAGACUUGAGAAGUUAUUGAUGAUUUCUCAAACGUUCAGCAGAAAGCAUUUGUGUUGUGGUGUUUCAGCAUGUUUCAGAUAACGGAAUCGUGGAUGGGAUGGGUUGUAAAGGACAUUUAAGGUCAUCUAUUUCCAACCCCCCGCCAUGGGCAGGGACACCAGUUUGAGCAAGUGUUAAUGCAUUUAUGCUUAAUUAUAAUGAUGAAUUACAGUGUUUAAUGUAUUUAUUACACGUGUCUCAUGUGAAACAUGUGAAACAAAUGUUUCAUUUCAAAGUCCAAGUUCUCUCGGUUUGAGUCUCCAGCAAAAGACUGAACAUUUUGUAACAGAGGGAGAAAAAGGAUGGAGACUCUGCUGCUGUCUCAUAACGGUGAACUGGUCUGAGCGUGGAUGUGACUGGGCGCUGUGCAGGAGCUCAUAGUGUGCAACAUUUAUUCUGUGACCUGAAAAGGGGAAGUUCUUCACAAAUCAAGAUGAAUCUCCAUGUUGGCGUGUAAGUUACUGGUUUGUUUUCCCCAGGUCAUGCUUUAUGAGUGACUCAAUGCAUCUGAUGUGAGCACAGUGUCCUCUCCUGCUUGGUGCUGCGCUGCUCCUCGCUGUGCCCAUGGAGAAUAAGCGCAGCACUGAUGUGGCACAGGUUUCUUAAAUCAGGAGACGUGCUCAGGGUGUUAUGAGAACCUCUCAGGCAGGAUUUCUGACCUGGAGUCUGUGGCCGUGAAGGUUGUUUGUUCCCUCAGGUUUUUUUUAAAUAAAUACUUUAAAUCCUCCCAAUGCUCAGCUCAUCUCUCUUAUUCCUUCGUUUUUUACCCUGUUUCUUCCAAGUCGCAGCCUGCAGACUGUACAGUUCUCUUCCUACUUGCCAUUUUUUGGUGCUUUCCAGAGUAAGUGUGACAUGAAAGGCUUUGGGUAACAGCGCUGUAAUCAGUUGUUGGACCAGAAUUAAACUUCAUGUAUUUAUUUUUUUUUUUUUCCAGGACUCCCUGGGAAGUUUUGCCGCAGCUUUUUCCCUCCCCAAGGAGGUGAUACAGACCCGUGGCCGUCCCUUCUGUCAGCCCGAGCAGACAGCCUGAAUUCCCAUCCAUUCCCAUGGGCAGACCCACGAUUCCCAGAAAACCUCCCUCCAGCUCAGCGCUUCUUAGAAGAGCAGGAAUUGCUUCCAAAUGCCAGCAGUGCUGUCAGCAGCGGCUCUCACUGCCUGCACAGAUCUGCAGAGAUUUGGGUCCUUCCCAGCUGCCCGUGUGGUCUGAUUGCCUUCCUCGUGUCAAUUAUUCAAAGAAGCGCUUGAUUGCUAAGAUGCUGGUGUGAUUUGAGUGCUUAUUUCCCUGUGGUAACUGAUCUUCUUUGUUUGUUGGCAAAAAGAUUCCUGUUUAUAGAAAACGUCGCGUUUCUUUGGCAGGCUCUCUAACAUACAAGUGAAUGUCAUUACAUAUUCAGAUGUGUUUUAUGACAGAAAUUUUGAUGUAUAUUUUGUGACUUCUGUAAUCAAGAGUCCUUGAAAAGCUCUUUGGAGGCAAAAUGACUUUAAAAACUGUAAGACUUAUCAACUCGUUCUCCUACUUACUCUCCCUUCAUUUAACAGCACAAUGCCAUCAGUUGUUGAAUGCAGUUUCUGGAGUCAAGCUUCAACUCCAUCCAACCUAGAUUUUAUAGGUUAUAUGUACUUUUUUCUAUAGAGCUCAACUAGUUCUUAACAGAACAAAGGAGGACAUGCAGAAAAAUAGCGAGAUAAUAAAUGAGCACUGCCCCAGACUUUUAGAAAGGAACGUCUCUCUGGGAAGGAGCCAGACCUGUGAGCUGACCGUGCCUGAAGCACAAGCAGGAAUUCUCCACCCGAAAGAGGCGCUGCUGGCAUCAGUUGGAUAUUUGCUAUUUAUUAAAAUUAAUAAGCUAACACCAAAAACGAUUGGUUGUUGUGGAUGUGUGGAUGUGCAGCAUAUUUCUGUCUAACAACACGUGUGAUGUCAUCGCGGGCGAUGACUGAGAUGUGAGCUCUGUCAGUCAGAGACUUCAACAGAUGUGUUUGCUAAUGGUUUUUUUUUCACUGAUUAGGGAUGUUUUUAAUUAUUUACUUAAGCUGAUGCAACUUCCUGCGAUGAACACAGCCUUGCAGAUGUAGAGAUGUUCUUAGCCUGUAAGUGAUUGUAGUGUGAGCAUGUGUUAUGUUAGGAAACGCAGUGAUGGGUGUUAGUCAAUUGCAUGAGGACCCGGCUGGAAGUUCCCUGCCUGCUUUACCAUUUGGCCAUGC